This 253-nucleotide ribosomal RNA is filed under the name uncultured bacterium. RNAcentral's name for it is "partial 16S ribosomal RNA". It matches the Rfam family "Bacterial small subunit ribosomal RNA", at positions 524 to 776 of the family's 1533-position model. The record is from RNAcentral. RNAcentral also lists the same sequence under 1 other name.
UACGAAGGGGGCUAGCGUUGUUCGGAAUUACUGGGCGUAAAGCGCACGUAGGCGGAUAUUUAAGUCAGGGGUGAAAUCCCGGAGCUCAACUCCGGAACUGCCUUUGAUACUGGAUAUCUAGAGACCGAGAGAGGUAAGUGGAACUCCUAGUGUAGAGGUGGAAUUCGUAGAUAUUAGGAAGAACACCAGUGGCGAAGGCGGCUUACUGGCUCGGAACUGACGCUGAGGUGCGAAAGCGUGGGGAGCAAACAGG